UUUGCUGACGAGUGGCGGACGGGUGAGUAAUGUCUGGGAAACUGCCUGAUGGAGGGGGAUAACUACUGGAAACGGUAGCUAAUACCGCAUAACGUCGCAAGACCAAAGAGGGGGACCUUCGGGCCUCUUGCCAUCGGAUGUGCCCAGAUGGGAUUAGCUAGUAGGUGGGGUAACGGCUCACCUAGGCGACGAUCCCUAGCUGGUCUGAGAGGAUGACCAGCCACACUGGAACUGAGACACGGUCCAGACUCCUACGGGAGGCAGCAGUGGGGAAUAUUGCACAAUGGGCGCAAGCCUGAUGCAGCCAUGCCGCGUGUAUGAAGAAGGCCUUCGGGUUGUAAAGUACUUUCAGCGGGGAGGAAGGGAGUAAAGUUAAUACCUUUGCUCAUUGACGUUACCCGCAGAAGAAGCACCGGCUAACUCCGUGCCAGCAGCCGCGGUAUACGGAGGGUGCAAGCGUUAAUCGGAAUUACUGGGCGUAAAGCGCACGCAGGCGGUUUGUUAAGUCAGAUGUGAAAUCCCCGGGCUCAACCUGGGAACUGCAUCUGAUACUGGCAAGCUUGAGUCUCGUAGAGGGGGGUAGAAUUCCAGGUGUAGCGGUGAAAUGCGUAGAGAUCUGGAGGAAUACCGGUGGCGAAGGCGGCCCCCUGGACGAAGACUGACGCUCAGGUGYGAAAGCGUGGGGAGCAAACAGGAUUAGAUACCCUGGUAGUCCACGCCGUAAACGAUGUCGACUUGGAGGUUGUGCCCUUGAGGCGUGGCUUCCGGAGCUAACGCGUUAAGUCGACCGCCUGGGGAGUACGGCCGCAAGGUUAAAACUCAAAUGAAUUGACGGGGGCCCGCACAAGCGGUGGAGCAUGUGGUUUAAUUCGAUGCAACGCGAAGAACCUUACCUGGUCUUGACAUCCACAGAACUUUCCAGAGAUGGAUUGGUGCCUUCGGGAACUGUGAGACAGGUGCUGCAUGGCUGUCGUCAGCUCGUGUUGUGAAAUGUUGGGUUAAGUCCCGCAACGAGCGCAACCCUUAUCCUUUGUUGCCAGCGGUCCGGCCGGGAACUCAAAGGAGACUGCCAGUGAUAAACUGGAGGAAGGUGGGGAUGACGUCAAGUCAUCAUGGCCCUUACGACCAGGGCUACACACGUGCUACAAUGGCGCAUACAAAGAGAAGCGACCUCGCGAGAGCAAGCGGACCUCAUAAAGUGCGUCGUAGUCCGGAUUGGAGUCUGCAACUCGACUCCAUGAAGUCGGAAUCGCUAGUAAUCGUGGAUCAGAAUGCCACGGUGAAUACGUUCCCGGGCCUUGUACACACCGCCCGUCACAUCCAUGGGAGUGGGUUGCAAAAGAAGUA
This 1347-nucleotide ribosomal RNA is filed under the name Escherichia sp. UIWRF0198. Its description in RNAcentral is "bacterial SSU rRNA". It matches the Rfam family "Bacterial small subunit ribosomal RNA", at positions 84 to 1428 of the family's 1533-position model. Lineage: Bacteria; Pseudomonadati; Pseudomonadota; Gammaproteobacteria; Enterobacterales; Enterobacteriaceae. The record is from RNAcentral.